GGGGGACUUUAACGCCCACGUGGGCAGCGACAGUGAUACCUGGAGGGGCGUGAUUGGGAGGAACGGCCUCCCUGAUCUGAACCCGAGUGGUGAGUUGUUAUUGGAUUUCUGUGCUAGUCGCGGUUUAUCCAUAACGAACACCAUGUUCAUGCAUAAGGGUGUCCACCAGUGCACUUGGCACCAGGACACCCUAGGUCGGAGGUCGAUGAUCGACUUUGUAGUCGUUUCUUCUGACCUUCGGCCAUAUGUUUUGGACACUCGGGUGAAGAGAGGGGCUGAGCUGUCAACUGAUCACCACCUGGUGGUGAGUUGGAUUCGAUGGCGGGGGAAAAAGCUGGAUAGACCUGGCAGGCCCAAACGCAUAGUGAGGGUCUGUUGGGAACGUUUGGCGGAGGCCCCUGUCAGAGAGGUCUUCAACUCCCACCUCCGACAGAGCUUCAACCAGGUCCCGAGGGAGGUGGGGGACAUUGAGUCCGAAUGGACUAUGUUCCGCUCCUCCAUUGUCGGUGCGGCGGUUCGGAGCUGCGGCCAUAAGGUCUCCGGUGCCUGUCGCGGCGGCAAUCCCCGAACACGGUGGUGGACACCGGAAGUAAGGGAUGCCGUCAAGCUGAAGAAGGAGUUCUAUCGGGCCUGGCUGGCUCAUGGGACUCCUGAAGCAGCUAACAGGUACCGACGGGCCAAACGGAGCGCGGCUCUGGCAGUCGCCGCGGCAAAAACUCGGGCUUGGGAGGAGUUCGGUGAGGCCAUGGAGGAAGACUUUCGGUCGGCCUCAAAGAGAUUCUGGCAAACCGUCCGGCGACUCAGAGGGGGGAAGCGGUGUUCCACGAACACUGUUUACAGUGGAAGUGGUGCGCUGCUGACCUCAGCUGAGGAUGUUCUCGGGCGGUGGAAGGAGUACUUUGAGGAUCUCCUCAAUCCCUCCGACACGCCUUCCGUAGAGGAAGCUGAGGCUGGGGACUCGGAGGGGGACUCGUCCAUUACCCUGGCUGAAGUUGCUGAGGUAGUCAAAAAACUCCUCGGUGGCAAGGCUCCGGGGGUGGAUGAGAUCCGCCCCGAGUUUCUCAAGUCUCUGGAUGUUGUGGGGCUGUCUUGGCUGACACGCCUCUGCAGC
Molecule: long non-coding RNA, 1111 nt
Filed under: Scleropages formosus (Asian bonytongue)
Lineage: Eukaryota; Metazoa; Chordata; Actinopteri; Osteoglossiformes; Osteoglossidae
Description: lncRNA (ENSSFOG00015030517.1)
Source: RNAcentral